UUUAUGGAGAGUUUGAUCCUGGCUCAGGAUGAACGCUGGCGGCGUGCCUAAUACAUGCAAGUCGAGCGAACGGACGAGAAGCUUGCUUCUCUGAUGUUAGCGGCGGACGGGUGAGUAACACGUGGAUAACCUACCUAUAAGACUGGGAUAACUUCGGGAAACCGGAGCUAAUACCGGAUAAUAUUUUGAACCGCAUGGUUCAAAAGUGAAAGACGGUCUUACUGUCACUUAUAGAUGGAUCCGCGCUGCAUUAGCUAGUUGGUAAGGUAACGGCUUACCAAGGCAACGAUGCAUAGCCGACCUGAGAGGGUGAUCGGCCACACUGGAACUGAGACACGGUCCAGACUCCUACGGGAGGCAGCAGUAGGGAAUCUUCCGCAAUGGGCGAAAGCCUGACGGAGCAACGCCGCGUGAGUGAUGAAGGUCUUCGGAUCGUAAAACUCUGUUAUUAGGGAAGAACAUAUGUGUAAGUAACUGUGCACAUCUUGACGGUACCUAAUCAGAAAGCCACGGCUAACUACGUGCCAGCAGCCGCGGUAAUACGUAGGUGGCAAGCGUUAUCCGGAAUUAU
RNAcentral lists this ribosomal RNA (571 nucleotides) under Staphylococcus aureus. RNAcentral's name for it is "bacterial SSU rRNA". It matches the Rfam family "Bacterial small subunit ribosomal RNA", at positions 1 to 554 of the family's 1533-position model. Lineage: Bacteria; Bacillati; Bacillota; Bacilli; Caryophanales; Staphylococcaceae. The record is from RNAcentral.